RNAcentral lists this ribosomal RNA (451 nucleotides) under uncultured bacterium. Its description in RNAcentral is "partial 16S ribosomal RNA". It matches the Rfam family "Bacterial small subunit ribosomal RNA", at positions 354 to 796 of the family's 1533-position model. The record is from RNAcentral.
GUGGGGAAUAUUGGACAAUGGGCGCAAGCCUGAUCCAGCCAUGCCGCGUGUGUGAAGAAGGCCUUUUGGUUGUAAAGCACUUUAAGCGAGGAGGAGGCUCCUUUAGUUAAUACCUAAAGAGAGUGGACGUUACUCGCAGAAUAAGCACCGGCUAACUCUGUGCCAGCAGCCGCGGUAAUACAGAGGGUGCGAGCGUUAAUCGAAUUUACUGGGCGUAAAGCGUGCGUAGGCGGCUUUUUAAGUCGGAUGUGAAAUCCCUGAGCUUAACUUAGGAAUUGCAUUCGAUACUGGAAAGCUAGAGUAUGGGAGAGGAUGGUAGAAUUCCAGGUGUAGCGGUGAAAUGCGUAGAGAUCUGGAGGAAUACCGAUGGCGAAGGCAGCCAUCUGGCCUAAUACUGACGCUGAGGUACGAAAGCAUGGGGAGCAAACAGGAUUAGAUACCCUUGUAGUCC